UAACCACUGGAAACGGUGGCUAAUACCGCAUAACGUCGCAAGACCAAAGAGGGGGACCUUCGGGCCUCUCACUAUCGGAUGAACCCAGAUGGGAUUAGCUAGUAGGCGGGGUAAUGGCCCACCUAGGCGACGAUCCCUAGCUGGUCUGAGAGGAUGACCAGCCACACUGGAACUGAGACACGGUCCAGACUCCUACGGGAGGCAGCAGUGGGGAAUAUUGCACAAUGGGCGCAAGCCUGAUGCAGCCAUGCCGCGUGUAUGAAGAAGGCCUUCGGGUUGUAAAGUACUUUCAGCGGGGAGGAAGGCGAU
RNAcentral lists this ribosomal RNA (309 nucleotides) under Pantoea vagans. RNAcentral's name for it is "bacterial SSU rRNA". It matches the Rfam family "Bacterial small subunit ribosomal RNA", at positions 144 to 455 of the family's 1533-position model. Lineage: Bacteria; Pseudomonadati; Pseudomonadota; Gammaproteobacteria; Enterobacterales; Erwiniaceae. The record is from RNAcentral.